ACGGGAGGCAGCAGUGGGGAAUAUUGCACAAUGGGGGAAACCCUGAUGCAGCGACGCCGCGUGAGCGAAGAAGUAUUUCGGUAUGUAAAGCUCUAUCAGCAGGGAAGAAAAUGACGGUACCUGACUAAGAAGCUCCGGCUAAAUACGUGCCAGCAGCCGCGGUAAUACGUAUGGAGCAAGCGUUAUCCGGAUUUACUGGGUGUAAAGGGAGCGUAGGCGGCACGGCAAGCCAGAAGUGAAAUGCCGGGGCUCAACCCCGGAACUGCUUUUGGAACUGUCGAGCUAGAGUGCAGGAGAGGUAAGUGGAAUUCCUAGUGUAGCGGUGAAAUGCGUAGAUAUUAGGAGGAACACCAGUGGCGAAGGCGGCUUACUGGACUGUAAAUGACGCUGAGGCUCGAAAGCGUGGGGAGCAAACAGGAUUAGAUACCCUGGUA
This 434-nucleotide ribosomal RNA is filed under the name uncultured Lachnospiraceae bacterium. RNAcentral's name for it is "bacterial SSU rRNA". It matches the Rfam family "Bacterial small subunit ribosomal RNA", at positions 341 to 792 of the family's 1533-position model. The record is from RNAcentral. Lineage: Bacteria; Bacillati; Bacillota; Clostridia; Lachnospirales; Lachnospiraceae.